This 460-nucleotide ribosomal RNA is filed under the name uncultured bacterium. RNAcentral's name for it is "partial 16S ribosomal RNA". It matches the Rfam family "Bacterial small subunit ribosomal RNA", at positions 338 to 795 of the family's 1533-position model. The record is from RNAcentral.
CCUACGGGAGGCAGCAGUGAGGAAUAUUGGUCAAUGGACGAGAGUCUGAACCAGCCAAGUAGCGUGAAGGAUGACUGCCCUAUGGGUUGUAAACUUCUUUUAUAAAGGAAUAAAACGAGGCACGUGUGCCUUUUUGCAUGUAUUUUAUGAAUAAGGAUCGGCUAACUCCGUGCCAGCAGCCGCGGUAAUACGGAGGAUCCGAGUGUUAUCCGGAUUUAUUGGGUUUAAAGGGAGCGUAGAUGGGUUGUUAAGUCAGUUUUGAAAGUUUGCGGCGCAACCGUAAAAUUGAAAUUGAUACUGGCAGUCUUGAGUACAGUUGAGGUAGGCGGAAUUCGUGGUGUAGCGGUGAAAUGCUUAGAUAUCACGAAGAACCCCGAUUGCGAAGGCAGCUUACUAAACUGUGACUGACAUUGAUGCUCGAAAGUGUGGGUAUCAAACAGGAUUAGAUACCCCAGUAGUC